Molecule: ribosomal RNA, 328 nt
Filed under: uncultured eukaryote
Lineage: Eukaryota
Description: partial 18S ribosomal RNA
Rfam family: Eukaryotic small subunit ribosomal RNA
Source: RNAcentral
CCCUUAGAUGUCCUGGGCCGCACGCGCGUUACACUGAUGCAUUCAACGAGCUUAUAACCUUGGCCGAGAGGCCUGGGCAAUCUUGUUAACGUGCAUCGCGAUAGGGAUAGAUUAUUGAAAUUAUUAAUCUUGAACGAGGAAUUCCUAGUAAACGCAGAUCAUCAAUCUGCAUUGAUUACGUCCCUGCCCUUUGUACACACCGCCCGUCGCACCUACCGAUUGGAUGGUCCGGUGAAGCCUCGGGAUUGUGGUUCUUGCCGCUUUAUUGUGGCGUGACCGCGAGAACUUGUCUAAACCUUAUCAUCUAGAGGAAGGUGAAGUCGUAACA